Drosophila sechellia is the source of this 463-nucleotide long non-coding RNA. RefSeq lists it as uncharacterized. The record is from RefSeq and is a predicted model, not a curated record. NCBI's taxonomy places the organism in Eukaryota, Metazoa, Arthropoda, Insecta, Diptera, Drosophilidae. The transcript has 5 exons.
CCGCCAUCUUUUCACAGAAUUUUGCCUUCCGCGUGCGAUGACGAAACUCGUUCAUUUUAUUUCAAGACUCGAAAUGUGAACAAUAUUGAAACCCCAAGCAUUUGGCUAAAUCUAAAUCCGUGCACUCCACGUGCAUGGUGCAUGUGAGACACCUCGGGACAACAUGUGAGCCCGUUGAGACACCUCGGGGCAACAUGUGAGCCCUCUGGGAACACCAUUGCCACAUUGGAGAUUUUACAUUCCGGUUUGAGGUUAUGUAUGGGUGUAGCUGCAGCGCGCACAUGGAUUUACCGAUAAAGAUCAACUCAGAAAUGUGGUUUAUCGAAGACAAAUAUAACUAAAUGAGUUCGUUUAUUCGACUACAUUCAUAAGAGUGACGUUGACCAGCCUUGUAUAAAAAGAAUUCGAUAUCUUCAAAUACUUAAAUAAAUAAAUAAAUUAAAUCAAAUAAUCACGAAUUAUA